UAAAGUUCAAUAAAAGAGUAUUCAAUGAAAGUCUUGGUAAAAGUUUUAGGACGUUACACAACGAAAAUUACAAGGAGGCUUAGGCUUGCGAUCUGUAAAUUUCCUGAGAGAAAACUCAAAAUUUAUUAUAAACUAAAAAAUGUGAAUUGAAUCAUCUUAGUAACAUUUUAAAAAUCAAACGAGAAUUUGCGAGUAUUGGUGAAUGAAAGCAAAAGAAGUUAAAGUAAUUGCUUUAUGAAAUUGUAAUAUUAUAAAAGGUAUUAAUCCUGUAGUAAAGUUUUAUUAUUAACAAAAGUAGCGCGAAUUUUAUUGCGUGAACACAAGGAGAACCACCUUCUAAAACUUACAAAACUUUUAACCGAUAGUGAAUGAGUAUUGUGAAAGAAAGACUAAAACAUCCGUUAGGAAUUAAUUAAUUGAAUAUUUUAUAUAGUUCGGAGUUUAAUAAAACCACGAGUUGCCUUUUGCAUAAUGAAUCAGCAAGUUAAUACAUAUUGCAAGUAUAAAUUUUAUUAAAUUAAGCGCAGAGUAAUGUGUAUUAGACCUGAAACCAAGUGAUCUAACCAUAAACAAGCUGAAAGUUUAUUAAAUUAAAUUGGAGGGCUGUACUCACAUAUGUAGCAAAAUAUGGAGAUGAUUUGUGGUUAGGGGUGAAAGAUCAAUCAAACUUGGAGAUAGCCGGUUUUCCACGAAAAGUAUUUUAGUACUACAUGAUUUAAAUAAAUUAAAGUUAGAGUAAAUUAAUUAAAGGAUGGGGUAUAAAAACUUACUGAAUUUAAUAUAACUCCGAAUUGAAAUUUAAUAAUUAAAUCAUAGCCAGUCUUUAAGCGAUAAGGUUUAAGAGACGAAAGGAAAACAAUCCAGCCCAUAUACUAAGAUCUUAAAAUUAUAACUUAGAGAAAAAAGAUUUUAAGAAAUUGCAAAUAAUUUAAGGUAUGCUUAGAAGCAGCUCCCCAUUAGAGAAAGCGUUUUAGCUCGUUAUCCUUUUCUUAAAAUUGAAAAUAAUGGAGACUAUAAGUUAUAUAUCGAUGUAAUGGAUUAAUACAUAUAACUGAAAUUAAUGGUAGUGGAACAUUCUGUAAUUUAAACUUAUUUGAAAAAAUAAAAAUAAAAUUCAGAAAAGCGAAUGCUGAUAUGAGUAGCGUAAAUCUUGUCUAAAUCAAGAUCAUUUUAUGUUGAAGGUUUUUAAUGAAAAUUCAGAAACAUUAAGUUAGUCGGCCCUUAAAAACUAGGCGAAAGCUAAAUUUGAUAGGAAUUUAUUUUAGUAAAACCAUUUAUAUGCAUUUAAAUGUGUGAAAAAAACUGAAAUUUUAUAAUUGAAAUAGUAAGGAAGUAUUAUUAAAAUCUUAAUUUUUCAAGAAAAAAUUAUAAUAUAAGACCGUACUUAAACCGACACUGGUAAACUGAUUAAAAAAAUUAAAAUGAACGGGCAAAUUAUAUUGAAGGAACUCGGCAAAUUAACUCUGUACGCUCGCAAUAAAGAGAACCUUAUAAUUUAUAAGGUGGCACAAAAUAAAAAGCAACGACUGGUUAACAAAACCACAGGACUCUGCAAAUUUAUAAAAAAGUAUAGAGUCUGAUGUCUGCCCGGUGCUUAAAAAAGAAAAAAAUGAGUUAAAGCUCAAAUUUGAAUUCUGAGUAAACGGCGGUUCUAACUAUAAGAAUCCUUAGGUAGCGAAAUUCCUUGACGGGUAAGUUCCGUCCUGCAUGAAUGGCUUAACGAUUGCUUUACUGUCUCCAAUAUAAACCCGGCGAAAUUACAAAACCUGUGAAAAUGCAGGUUCCUUGCAGUAAGACGGAAAGACCCUAGAUCCUUUACUCUAAUUUUGUAUUGUAAAAUUAUUUUUAUUGUGUAGCGUAAGUGGAGGUAAUUAACUAAAAUGAAACACCACUCUCUAACAAAUAAUUUACUUAUUAAAUUAUUAUUUAAAAUAGUGCAAAAAAGAGAGUUUACUUGGGAUGAGUACCUCCUAAAAUGUAACGGAGGUGUACAAUGGUAAAUUAAAUACAAUGGUAAUUUUGCUUGACAAUUAGAUUCAUAAAUCAAAUUGGGACGAAAGUCAGUCAUAGUGAUCCGGUAUUUAAGUGUGGAAUUAAUACCGCUCAACAGAUAAAAGGAACUCUAGGGAUAACAGAUUCAUCGUGACUAAAAGUUCGUAUUGACGUCACGGUUUGAUACCUCGAUGUCGACUCAUCUUAUCCUGAGAUCGAAAAAGAUUUCAAGGGUCUAGUUGUUCGCUAGUUAAAAAGGUACGUGAGUUGGGUUCAGAACGUCGUGAGACAGUUCGGUCCCUAUCUACUGUAAGUAGGAAAAAUAAAAAACUUACUUCUAGUACGAGAGGAUCGAAGUAAAUUAACCUCUAGUGAAUUUGAUUGUUAUACCUAUAGCAAUGUCUAAUAGCCAAGUUAAUUAAAUAUAAGUACUGAAAGAAUCAAUUAGUACGAAAAUUGUUUUUAAAUUUUUCAAGAAUCAUCUAAACGAAAAUUAGAUUGAUCGAUUAUAAAAUGUAAGUUUAGUAAUAAAUUUAAUUUAUAAAUACGAAUUUAUUCAAAACUUUAAACUU
RNAcentral lists this ribosomal RNA (2564 nucleotides) under Gelidium coulteri. RNAcentral's name for it is "large subunit ribosomal RNA". It matches the Rfam family "Bacterial large subunit ribosomal RNA". The record is from RNAcentral. RNAcentral also lists the same sequence under 1 other name. Lineage: Eukaryota; Rhodophyta; Florideophyceae; Gelidiales; Gelidiaceae.